This 1906-nucleotide long non-coding RNA is filed under the name Mytilus galloprovincialis (Mediterranean mussel). The record is from RNAcentral. Lineage: Eukaryota; Metazoa; Mollusca; Bivalvia; Mytilida; Mytilidae.
GGGAAGUAGCGUCGGAAACUAAUAUCCUAUCUAAUAGUAUCAAUUGACUAAAUAACAAAUCAACAAUCAUUAUAAGGAUAAAAUGUAACAAAAGUUGUUGAUAUUCAAAUUUAAUAGAUUUAUCUUGUAUACAUCAAACAGUAAGUUUUCUGUAUUUUAGAAUCUACCUUUUGAAUUUUACGAUGUUAAUAUCAAAUUCUGCAAACAUAUUAUGUUUGCCUAUUUGUUUAGUAAUUGUAUACUAGUUUAGUAUAUAUAUAUGAGAAAAUAGUACGUUUUCAAUAUCUUAUAAUCAAAGAAUUGUAUGAUAGUUAGUAGCAAUGCCAAAUUGUUUGAACCAAUUAAGAUUUUCCUGUACAUUAAAAACACAUAUACUUUACUUAAAAAAAGUUUAGAAAAACAACUUAUGAUUGAAAAUGAAGUAAAAGAAAAUAUAUAUUGAUCAUUCAAGUUAAAUUUGCGAUUGUGUUUAUCUGCAAUUAUUUUUGUAUCCAUAAGUACUACAGUAGCAGUAUAUGUAUUAUAAGUCAAAAUUAAGUUAGCUACAUAGAAGGGCUUCUUUUUUACCCUUUACUAUUUUAUUAUUAAUUUGUCGUAUUUAAAAGUAUUUCCCACAACGAAAUGAGCCUUUAAAGUUUGAACCCAAUUUAUUUCAAUGGAAACGUUGCAUAACUUUAUUUAUCAUAGCAGUUGUUUAUAUAUUAAAGUAAAUAACGUAAAUGUAAAAGUAUACAUAAAAGAGACAAGAGAUGUUAAAUUCAAAAUAUUUUAUUGUUCAAAUAUCAAAUAUAAAAGGUACAUUUAAACAAAGGUACGGGAAAAAAGGCAAUGCCGUUACAAACCCUUUCCUAUACAAAUCCAAGCAACACAUCGUUGUAAACAAAAUGGAAUGAUUUGCGACUGUCAUACAAGUGAGAGGUUUAGCUAGCUGUGAAACCAGGUGUAAUUUACUAUUUUCUACAUCAGAAAAAAAUGCCUGUACAAAGCCAGGAAUAUGACAGUUGUAUUCGAUUAAUAUGUUUCAGAGUUUGAUCUUGCCAUUUGAUCACGGACUUCUCGUUUUGAUUUUUCCUUGAAGUUCGCAACUUUUGUAAGUUUAUUUUUUGGCAGAUAAGAUGCUUUGAAGACAGUGAAAGAACUAACAAAAUCCUAAAUCUAAAAAAAUGCCGGACAAAAGCAUGGCAUACAAUUAAGACAAACAACUACGGUCACAGUCUAUAUACAACAUCAUAUGUGCAUGUUGCAUCAGUGUGAGCGAAGGCUCCGUGUCGAAGGCCGUACUUUGACCAAUAAUUAUUUACUUUUUACAUAUUUUGGAUUUCUAUAUAUGAUAUACAUGUAUUUAGUUUACAUAUCUACAGGUACAUUUAUUACUUUCAAACGCAAACCUACUGAAAAUUAUAUUUAAAAUCUGUUUAACUCUCUUUUUUUCAUCUUUUGUUAAUAGAUGAAGUACAAAUUAUUAUUCGUAAUAGUCAUCAUGGUCCUGUUUAUUUGCCAUGUUUCAAUAGUAUCAACAAAGGCAUUGACUUUUAUGAAUAACUGUAGACUGUGCAAUUCACAUUAUAACAAAAUAUGUGUUCAACAACCAUGCUCGCCUGGUGAGUCUGGACUACAGAGCUUCGGCAACAUAAUAGACACAGUGUGUAUGCAGAAAUGCAGUGACCUUUUCCGCACGUGUAAAAGAAUUUGUGGACAUUAAUUGAGAUGUCACAAAUACACCAGAAACUCUGAAAAUGACAAUGGGAUGUAUUGUAGAUAGUGUUUUAUUAUGAAUAAAGUUUGACUUAGAAAAAGGGCAUGCUAUUGUUUUUGAUUGAACACGUGAUAACAAGGAUUUUAGAAAGCUAUAUUUUUAUAUAUUGUGCCAUGACUUCAACAUAGAUAUAUAAUAUAAAUACUGUUU